GUUCAAAAUAACUUUAUUCGUACUGCUAUUAGAUCAGUCCACUGGGGAGCAACCAAUUAUUUUUGAUUACUCAAGGCAGAUAAGGCUGGGUUAGAACCGAGAACCACGCGCUGCAAGGGAGAGGGGCUGGAGGCACCUCCUGGCACGCGCACGCCGGCUGUGCUGCUCCCUGGCUCAGCACCUGUGUGAGCCCCCAGCACCUGUGUGAGCCCCCAGCGCCCAUGCGAGCCCCCAGUGCCCAUGCUAGCCCCCAGCACGGUGGGUUUGAGGGUUUUGCACAAGGCUUUGCAGGCGUGCGUGGUGUGGGCACGAAGGAGGCACAUGUGUGCCGCAGGCAAGCUGGGGGGGAUGUUUGCAGACAGGUGUGUGCUGUUUCCACCUAAAAACCAAUUAACAGUGAUGCUGCCGAGCUCAUUAGCCUGCCUGUGGCUGGUCCAUCCAUCUUGUUUGCCAGCCCCCAGCAUGGAGUCAGCCCAGGGGAGCACAGGGGUUGAGCAGGGCAGGAGCCAUCCUAGUAGCUGAGAUGAGCCGUGCCCGGUCUUGGUGCAGCAGUGCCGGCAGGAGUCAGCAUGGGCAAGGAAACGAGAAGCUUCCAGAUGAUUUACCACCCUCUGUUUGCACCAAAUCCAUUUGCAUGGUCCCGCUGGUUCCUGGAAGUCCUGGCUGCUUCGUGGAGCUGGCACAGGUUGCCUUCGUGGUGUAAAUCAGGGUUAUUAAGGCCCUCUGCUGCUGCGGGUGGGUGCAAGCCAUGGGCAGGUCUCCGUGAAUGGAAGGUCUCAGUCUGGAACUGAUUUGACUCCAGUCACCAGAGCCGCUGCUACCAGGGAUUUUGUAAGAGUCUGCAAGGCCUUUAAUCUCUUCCCCUACAAAUAGCACUGUGCCCCAGGGAGCUGUGAGCAUCCCUGCACCACGCCACAACCUCAUGAGCACCCAGCUGCACCCCACGGGAGGGUCACCUGCCUCAUGUCCCUCCUCUAGCUCAGAACCGUGCCUGGGGAUGAGAGGGAUGCGGCCGUCAGUCCAGCACCAAUGCAUGCUUAUGUCCGCCCCAUCUGGGCUGUGUUCUCCUAAUAUCCGUACUGCUUGCUGCAGGGUUUUCGCGCUAUCCGCAGCCAAACAGCAUUAUAUUCUGCUGAGGAAAAGUCUGUGUUUUGGGACCACUGGAACAAUCCGGCAGGAGGGCGUUAGGUGCUCCCAGCAUGGCACCCACAGGGCGCAACGAGCAGCACCGGGCUCGCGGUCCCUGUGCUCUCCUGCCCGGGGUGAUGGGGAGGUCUCCGCGAGGAAUUUAGGUGCAGAUGUUUAAUAACACCGGGACACGUGAAGUCUUGUUCGCCUUCACGGCUAUCGGUGCUGCUCAGCCACGCACACGGUUGUUUUCCUUGGCUCUGACAGAGAAAUGCGCUCCUCGAGGACUUUUCAUUAAGCAAAAAUUUAUGAGAGGGGAUGAAAAUUAUGUUUUACUGUCUGAGGUCUCAGUCAGUGCUGUUUCUUCAGACGUUUUAGUAAUUCGUCUUGGCAAGGACCUAGAAAAUGUCUCCAGUGGAACAGAAAAUUUCACUUGGAUGCUUGGAGUCGCUCGCAUCGGCCGGUCCCGUCCCCAGCGUGGACCGCUGCCCGGAUUAACGACCUGUCCCCCCGGGAGCUGAAACAAAAGCGAAACACCUCACAAUUUAUGUCCAGUGAAAAAUAACGUGUACAUGAUGUAAAGCGUUAUUGGGAUUUGAUGCUAAUUUUAGUGGUCACCUUGGCUGUGUUUGAGGAAGUUGCCGGCGGUGCCAAGAGCAAAUUUACCUGAUGAUGAAUGAGGAAUCAGAGCAUAAAAUAAAUAAAUAUCAGCAACACCUCUUUUUUUCCUGCUUUUUUGGCAGGUCGGUGUCAUCCAAGGUCACACAUUUGUGCAUUAGGAGAACUACUGCCAGAGCUUAACAGUUUAAAGUCAUUUCUAAGUGAAGAGCAGCAUCUUUAAGGGCUGAGUCUAAAACAGAAAGUCCAAAUUAGAGUCUCCCAAAAAUUCUUGCCGUUGGCUAGGUUUGCACAUAAGCUGUUAAUCUUCUUCCCUCCUUGUGCUCCAUCUUAGGCUUGGAAGCAGCUUGCUGUGAAUUUCUGCAGAAAUUCUUUGUUUUCCUCCUCGAGUCCAGGGCUGAAAGCACCCACGGCAGCCCCGACCUGGAGAGGAGCAGGGCACGGUGUCCUGCAAGAGAGGUCAGGCCACGGGGUGCUCUGGGGCGACCCUUGUUCUCCUCUCCAUGGGAAGACCUCUUGAAACGUUGGUUUUCUGUGCUCUCAAUGGAGAAAAGGAGGACUUUCUGUUUGUUUUUCAACAAAAUGCAACAAGUCGCAACAAGCAGGAAAAAUCUUUGUUUCCAUCAGCGCUUUUCUCAGACAGAGCCCGUGUCCCAGCCAACUCCAAGAACAAACUCAGGGCUGGAGCCAGGUCCGCCGAAGCGAGGCAGCAGCUCCCACCGAGCAGCACGUCCCAGGGCUGCCUGAAGCACCCUGAGGUACUUCGGCUCCUCGCUGAGGUGCCCUGCCACUGCCGGAGGACAGACCCAGGGCCUGGGGGAAAUACAGCCAUCCCAGUGUUUUUAUGAUUUCUUUUAUUACUUUGUCUUCCCAAAGCAAACCAGGAGGGAGGUCAGGAAGAAUAAGCGUUUUCAGGCUCCCGGCACUGCGACGACAGAAAGCAGACCUCUGAACGCUCGUUCCUCUGCGAGCUUCCAAAAACCAGUGCAAACCCUGCGCAUGUCACAGUGGCAAAAGGGCUUGCGAGCAAAACCAACGCAAGCCCUCCUGAAUAACCCCUGCUACUGGGGAUCAGAGGGCAGCAAGUGUCACUGCCCUGGCUCCCAAGCUGUUGCUAAUUACUGAAAGCAUCCCUAAAAAAGCAGGAAGCUCCCCCGUUAGAAACCACAAGCCUUAUUUGCAUGUAGUACCAAGCGUUCUGUGGUUUUGGAGACGGCCUUUCAAGAUUUGUAUUUUUAUUUAGUUUUUGUGGUUUUUUAUUUUAUUUGUUAUUUUUUUCCUCUCAGAGAGGAUGCGGGAAGGAGAUGCGUAAGGUUGCCGAAAUAACGCAGCCUACGCAGGGAGGCAGAGGGGAAGUUUGCGCUGCGUUAAGCAGGUUCCUCGGUGGAGACGAGGCAUGGCUGAAUUUAUAGCAACCCUCAGAAGAAAAUGAUAAAUGGAAGCUGUAAUUUUUACUGGGGAGGGGGACAGAUCAUGGGUGAGGGAACAAAAUAAUAAAAAAAACAUAAAUUAGAAGCACGGCUUGACGGCUGGGAGUUGAAAGUGUUUGGCUCGUAUAUAAUGUGCGUUUCUUGUGGAACAUGAUCCAGCACAGCGCAUGGAAAUUACCUGCAAAAAGACUUUCUAUUAAGUCAUAUUACUGUGAACUCUCCCUACAAGGGCUCCAAGGACGGGUGCCCCGAGAGGCACUGCUGCUCCUUGCUUCCUACUGCUCCUGACCCACGUCCUACAACAACCGCCCGCAUGGCGCUGCUCCGGUUUGGUAUGUACAUAUAUUUAAUAUAGACAGGAUGCAAUUCAUAGUGCACAGCCAGUGCACCUUUUAAGCCCAAUACAAGCCCAGCGGGACACCCUGUAGUUCUCCUCUCUCUCCUUAGGAGAGGUUUGGAUGGUUUGGGGGCAGCUGCUUGUUCUUGCACCCAUCCAGCACAGCUGGGUGCUGGUCCCCGUCCUAUUCCAAGUGCCCUGGGCUGUGGGGCAAUGCGCUGCCUCUCGGAGACGCUGGUUUUUAACCAGGAAAAGAUGCAAUGUGCCAUGAAGCAGCACUGCAGACGGCUCCAGGACCCUCCGUCACCAGGAGAGUGCAGGAACAUCAGUGCCAGGACGUGGGAAUGUCACCGUUGGGACACAGAAACGUCACUGCCAGGACAUGGGAACGUCACUGCUGGGACACAGGAAUGUCAUUGCCAGGAUGCACAGCUCAGAGGUUGCCCCUGCCCAUCCCAAUGCCAGCAGGAGUUUGGCUGCUCACGGACCCCUCAGAUCUCGGUGCCGCUGGGAUGUGCACGACCUGCAGCAAAGUCAUCUGCAAAGCCUUGCCUCGGAGAGAUGUGUUAAACCAGGACAGCUCCUCCGUGCAGGGAGGGUGGCAGGGGGCAGCCUGGAGGAAGGCAGGAACCAGAGGCUUUGGUGGAUCCACAGGAGAAACGGCAAUGCCACAGAAAGAGACUGAACACGAGUGGGAAGGGGCCGAGCAUCUUUCCAUGACACGUUUCCACCCACCACAUGUUCUCAAGGAGCGGCAGCCUCACAGCUCCCCAGAUUUCCCAGGUCUCGUCCUGACAGCCAAGUUUGUCUCUAAACCUGACCGGUUUCUUUGGGUUUGAGUCCAUCUACCGAUCCCUUUUUGAUGCCAGAAGUGCUUCCCUGAGCCAAAUUUCCCUGGUAAUUGUCCUUUGGAUUAGUUUGGAAAAUUGCAUAAGCCUUGGGUUAGAGCUGGCUGCGUCUCUCAUCCGAGUGCCUAAGGCUUCAUGGGGCAAAGACUAAAGAGCUGUGAAAUGCAGAGAUAUAACAGAUGUUGACAUGUAGUGAAAAUACUAGACGCAGGAGCCUAAGAUAAUAAAUCUGAAAAAUUAACACGUAGGAGAACGAAAAAAGGAGCAAUAUGUUUUGGUAAUCAUUCUGAACUGCUGAACCCUUCUCCUGCAGUUCAAAAAUCUCUGGUAUUAAGCAGAUGUCAUUCAACCAAUGAUUAACACAUUACCGAAUUUCUCCAGUCGUUUAAUAAAAGUUUUACAUAACAUGCAGGUAAUUGCUUCCAAAUGUCAAGGUAACAAUGUGGGCUUCUAUGGAUGGCAUUGUUUCCAGCGUCAGGUGAAAACCCCUCUUGGUGCCGUGCUAUCAGGCGAGGUCCCACUGCGAAGACCCCGCGCCUGGCCAGCUGCUUUUCCCGUCACUCCUCCUAAAGCAGAAACAAAGAAACAGUCGGGGAAGAUUAAAAGCCUUCGAUCUGGUAAUGUUUUCUUCCCUUUGAAUGUCUGUGCAGGCAGCAAGCAGACCUCGUGCUCCAAAAAGAGGGCACAGGCAUAUGUCUUCUCCGUGAUUUUAUUUUAUUUUUUCUUUUUCUUGCUAGAUCUCAUUGCUGCUGGAUGCAAGUAGGUAGUGGAAAAGAGCAGGGUGCAUGGGAUGUCCUGGCAGCAGAGAUGGGUGAUGCUUCCAGGCAGCCCACAAGCUCGCAGCCACCCAGCCCAUUUCUGCAGGAGCUCUCUCCCCAUCCCUGAGCCCACCUCGAGCUCAAAACCUACAUUUACCCACCAUGGGAGCAGGAAAAUGUUCAUCCCAACCAGGUUAUUUGCCCGAGAGCUGUCCCCAUGUAGAGCUGGGGGUCUCAGCACCACUGCAGGGUCUCGCUUGUUAUUUCAGCAUCACUCACAGCGAGGUGUGAGAGUGAUGGAUGCCCAGGGAUGGGGAGCCUGACAGGCUGCAAACUGUGUGCAGACUCUGCGAAUUGCUGGCCGGUGGCUUUCCAGGCUGCAAAUUAUCUUCCCAAAUUAUAACUGGAGAACAGGAUACUGCUAAAACAACCGAUCUGUCGCGAGAUGUGUCCUGUGUUUGUCAGAGGCCGGUGUAGCUCUGUUGAGAACAGCUAGGGGUGGCUGUCCAAAGUGCAUGUCGAUGCCACAGCUUUGAUGUGACGCUUGCUUUUAGGAAAUCUUUAAGUGAUUUGUCCUGCCAUGGCAGGUGGCACACAGUCCUCCUGCUAACCAGUGUCUGCACUACGGAUCUCACUGCUGCUGAGAUAGGCAGGGCUGAGAAAGCAGGAUUGUCUCUGGUCUUGUGAGCAGAGGAGUCCUGUCCCAGGUGCAGAUGCUGUCGGUGCAGUGCUCUGUGCCAGACCUGCAGGAAUAGGGCCAAGUAUCUCCAUCUCUGCAUACUUCAGCUGCCCAGCUGCUCCUCCAGGUGUCCUGCAGCCCCCUGAGCACCUCACAAGGCAACAGAUACCCCAGUGCAGGGGGUAUCCCACCCUGAAUCCCACCCUGGCUUCCCUGGCAGGUGGGUUUCACCCCAUGGUGACCAUUGCCUUGGGUCUCUGAA
Molecule: long non-coding RNA, 6060 nt
Organism: Cygnus olor (mute swan)
Lineage: Eukaryota; Metazoa; Chordata; Aves; Anseriformes; Anatidae
Exons: 4
Source: RefSeq, a predicted model, not a curated record